Helianthus annuus (common sunflower) is the source of this 194-nucleotide long non-coding RNA. RefSeq lists it as uncharacterized. NCBI's taxonomy places the organism in Eukaryota, Viridiplantae, Streptophyta, Magnoliopsida, Asterales, Asteraceae. The transcript has 3 exons. The record is from RefSeq and is a predicted model, not a curated record.
GAACCCUCAAUCUUUUGUGACAAUCGAACUCGGAGUGUUCGUCAACCAAAACAGUCGAAACACAAGGAGAAGCCACAGACUACCGAAAGUCAUGUUGAAGAAGGUGUUGCUGGGGAUAGUGUUGGUGACUUUCAACUUCCAAAUUUUGAGUCUAUAUUUAAUGAUACUGACGACUACAAGUUUGAUCGACAUAU